UGCCUAAUGCAUGCAAGUAGAACGGGUUAGUAGCAAUACUAACUAGUUGCGAACGGCUGAGUAAUGGAUAGGAAUCUCCCCGAUGGUGUGGAAUACCUCAUCGAAAGAUGAGCUAAUACCGCAUGACCCCGCAAGGGAAAAGCGCUUAACUGCGCGCCGACGGAUGAGCCUAUCUCCCAUCAGGCAGUUGGUAGGGUAAUGGCCUACCAAACCUAUGACGGGUACCCGCCCUGAGAGGGGAAACGGGCAGAAUGGGACUGAGACACGGCCCAUACACCUACGGGUGGCAGCAACAGGGAAUCGUGCGCAAUGGACGAAAGUCUGACGCCGCAAUGCCGCGUUUAGGAUGAAGGCCCUAGGGUUGUAAACUCC
This 372-nucleotide ribosomal RNA is filed under the name uncultured organism. RNAcentral describes it as "bacterial SSU rRNA". It matches the Rfam family "Bacterial small subunit ribosomal RNA", at positions 45 to 433 of the family's 1533-position model. The record is from RNAcentral.